Zingiber officinale is the source of this 741-nucleotide long non-coding RNA. RefSeq lists it as uncharacterized. The record is from RefSeq and is a predicted model, not a curated record. Lineage: Eukaryota; Viridiplantae; Streptophyta; Magnoliopsida; Zingiberales; Zingiberaceae. The transcript has 3 exons.
CUCCGUUUUCUCUUCCUCGCCGAACCCGUGCGCCCUCUUCCCUUCUUCUCUCACGCCGAAGCCCUAACUGCCUGCGGCAGUUUCUUCUCCUUCUCUUCCUCUCCCGAGCGCCGGCCGCCGGCAAGUAUUCCGUGCCCUAGUUUUCCUCCGGUCUCCCCUGUGCUCUAGCGCCGACACCGAUCCAGCGCCCCCGCCGGUCGAGCCACCUUUCCGAUCCAUUCUUCAUUGCGCCGCCGCCGUCGAACCUCCUGAUUCCCCUCUGCCUAGUGUGGGCAGCCGUUCUCUUCAUCUCUGCCCAAGUGUCGUCGGCCACAGAAACCUCAGCGCCGCCACUGCAAAGGAGUUGGCAUCGCAGCCACCUAGGGCCGGCCAUCACCCUCUUCCCUUCCUCUCUGCCCUAGCCGUCUCCACACGAUCGUCUGAUUUCCGUUGUCUCUGUGUGCCACUGCCGGUCCAUCGCCAGUGUUCCCGUGCCAUGACAGUGAUCCUCAAGUGAGGUGUGUUUGGGCUGUCGGGCAGAAUCUAGAAGGUGGUUGCUUGAUUAGUGACCUCCUGUUUGAUUCGGUUGAUAUCGGUAAGGAAAGAUUUUAGCAAGAUUAUGUGUUGUGGGUUGCUCUUUGAUCCAGCAGCACCUUGGAUUCGAUUGGACCUCUUUCAGGCAGUACACGUUUGGGUUGAGCUUGAGGACUCUGACGCGAGACGAGUAUCUCGACGUCGUAUUUGGACCAGAUUGGACUUUUC